CCCUUCCAGAGUAAAGCUGACCUUCACUUAUUUCUGGGCCAUAUAGAAAGCUGGUCUAGGCUUAAUCCUGAAACUCUUGAAGAAUAAAUGUAGACAUCUGCAGCACAGCAGAUUGGAGCCUUGGCAGGUCUUCUGCCCUCAACAAAAUAAGAAUUUCCUUUUUGUCAUUUAA
RNAcentral lists this long non-coding RNA (172 nucleotides) under Fukomys damarensis (Damara mole-rat). RNAcentral describes it as "lncRNA (ENSFDAG00000027776.1)". Lineage: Eukaryota; Metazoa; Chordata; Mammalia; Rodentia; Bathyergidae. The record is from RNAcentral.